GCUGGGCGGGUAGCCGGAGGGGCAGGGGUCCUGGGCGAGGCGUGGGGUCCCGAGCCUCGCGAUCGCUCGCCGAAUGCAGUGUACUUUUGCAGAAGUUGUUCAUGACUACACUUAAAUGUGCUCCUUUUAGGGAAAUCGGAAACGUAGACACAAAUCUCCCACGGCCACACUCUGCACGCAUGAUGCUACUGAGGGGCCCGGGUUCAGACUUUUCUCGCCUACACCCGGCUCUGGGGCUCGGCUUUCUGGGCUUUCUGUGAGUCGCGUGGGCCCACUGAGAGCCCAGGCACCACCUGCCGCAUCCCCUUUGGAGCCCCCUUCGGUUCACUGUGUGCUGAGCCCCUGGAGAAUCGCCCACCGCGCAGGGAUAGUGAUUUUUAAAGAGCCUGUUGGUCUACCCGACAAGACUCCAGAGGAUGCUGGGAUUGCCUGAGACUUGAUAAACGUGCAGAGGGCCAACCCAUGCUCUAGCUCCUCUGUCCCCGCAGCAGCCUUGCCCAGUUGGGAGGUCCCAGGCCCGGUCCUGGGGACGGCAGACAGCGCUUAGAGUCUUCAUGUGGGAGGCGAGGCUGGACCCCCACAGAACCUGCUGCCCACGUCUGUGCUGUGGAGUUUCCAUGUGCUCUGUCAGGAGAGAGGUUGAGAAACACCAGAUUCUGUCCUUUCGUCUUGUGGCAGGAUGGUGCUGCAUUGGCCCCACUGCACAGAUAAGAAAACUGAGGCUCCAAGCAAGAGACCCUUACAUGCUACCUCGCGUAUCCCGCUCAGCAUCGUGAGACAGGAAAGAAACCGAAAACAGGGUUUUCCAUGGCCGUGUCACAAGUUCCUACACAUUCGGCAGAUUAAAGCAGGUGCCCUCGUGAUCUCAUCAUUUCUGUGUGUCGGGAAUCUGGGUGGGCUCAGCUGGGUUCCCUGAUCAGAGUGUCCCUGGCCGCAGAUCAGGUGUCAGCUGCCCAGUGGGGUCCUUUCAAGAGCUGGGGGCCUCCUGCAAGCUCGCGGGGUUGUUGGCAGAAUACGGCUCCCUCUGGUUGUAGGACUGAGGUCUCACUUUCUUGCUGACUGUGGGCCAGGGCCUGCUCUCAGUUCCUGGGGUCUGAAGUACCUUUCCAUGUGGCCCCCUCACGGGCCCCCUUAUGGGCCUGCUCAUAUGCUUUGGCAGCCCAUUUCCUGACGGCUAGCGGAGGGCCUGCCUCUCCAGUUUGCUGAGACCGAGCAUCCCGUGAUGUGUUAUGAUCAAGUGAAUGAGCUGAGUGACUAGGCGGUCCCUUUGCUGAAUUCUGUUGACUGGAUGCAGAUCACAGGUUUCAUCUGUAUCAAGGCGCUCUGGCCCCCCUUCCCUGCCCCCGCUGUGCUUAAGACCAACUGUGCCUUACUUGGCUAACGUGGCUGCUGGUACGCCAGUGGCUUUGCUGAGUGGGAAACCGGACUUGAUCUUGCUGCUGCGGGAGGCUGAGCAGAAUGAAAAGGUUGAUUUCUGCUCUGUGGGUCUCCCUUUUUGGAAGGACAGCCAAGGUUCUGAGUUCUGAGUCGACCUCCUUAGGGGAGGAGGCGGGUGAACAGUUCUUUGUGUUUCUUUGGGUCCAUGGAAGGGAGGGCCUGCGGGCUUUGAGGGACGGGCUGGGGCUUGGAUUCCGGGAUCGGUGCCCUCGUGUCCCCCCCAGAUGCAUGGAUGUUGGGGGUGGGCAUGGGGCUGGAUACUGGGGAGUGAGAUACGAGGUGCUACAGACCACAUGGCCAAGCUCAUGGUCGGCAUAUCAACGGCACAGUGGGAGUGACUGGUUCACCUCUGCUGUGGCCCUGGG
Non-coding RNA from Sus scrofa (pig), 1802 nucleotides. The record is from RefSeq and is a predicted model, not a curated record. NCBI's taxonomy places the organism in Eukaryota, Metazoa, Chordata, Mammalia, Artiodactyla, Suidae.